RNAcentral lists this ribosomal RNA (466 nucleotides) under uncultured bacterium. Its description in RNAcentral is "partial 16S ribosomal RNA". It matches the Rfam family "Bacterial small subunit ribosomal RNA", at positions 28 to 507 of the family's 1533-position model. The record is from RNAcentral.
GACGAACGCUGGCGGCGUGCUUAACACAUGCAAGUCGAACGGAAAGGCCUCAGCUUGCUGGGGUACUCGAGUGGCGAACGGGUGAGUAACACGUGGGUGAUCUGCCUUGCACUCUGGGAUAAGCUUGGGAAACUGGGUCUAAUACCGGUAUGAACUGCCUUUAGGGGGGUGGGUGGAAAGGUUUUUCGGUGCAAGAUGAGCUCGCGGCCUAUCAGCUUGUUGGUGGGGUAAUGGCCUACCAAGGCGUCGACGGGUAGCCGGCCUGAGAGGGUGUACGGCCACAUUGGGACUGAGAUACGGCCCAGACUCCUACGGGAGGCAGCAGUGGGGAAUAUUGCACAAUGGGCGGAAGCCUGAUGCAGCGACGCCGCGUGGGGGAUGACGGCCUUCGGGUUGUAAACUCCUUUCGACAGGGACGAAGCUUUUUGUGACGGUACCUGUAUAAGAAGCACCGGCUAACUACGUG